GUUAGAACCUCAUUUGCAGGUGACCUAGUUUUCUCUUAAAUACCUUAGUCCCGACCACCUUCCGUGGUUUCAGAACCUUCAGCAGGAAGUCUUGGUGUGAACAUUAAACGGCGCUACAUUAACAUUCGAAAUUGCGAUUCGGUCCUCGUCAUGAUACUUUUUUAACAAUCCUAAUACACAGUAUGCCUAGGUUUUGUGUGUAAGAGAUUUCUCCUGUAGAUAAUCAUUUAUGUCCUAGAGUUUCGAAUGGGUGAGAGGUUUGAACGAGUACAGUCCAAGAAUUGUAUUAGUAUUAGAAUGUCUAAUCAUUUUGCGGCUGCAUGCUAUUUAUAUUUGGUAGCUGAAGACAAGCAGUGGUCAUUGGAGCUCAAUCUCUCUACGUGCGUUUUUAUCUCGCUUAGCCUUCCUUUGCACUGAGAUCAAAAUGGAGUUUAGGAACCUGAGUGAUAUCCACUCGGAAGAAUUUAGGUUUUGUUCUCUCGAAUCUCUGUUCUUGAAACUGCACGAAGGUCUUUCGACAUGCUGUUGAUUGGCACUGAAUUAUUUUCUUCCGUGUACAGAUCUUGUCGCACAACUCAGGAGGGUUUGUUGUAGAUGUUGAGGGCCUGCGUGGUUUUGUGCCUUUCUCUCAGGUUUCAGCUGUAAGUACUCCGAUUUUACCCUUAAACCUGUUUGAAAAUCACGGGCACCUUGUUUAUUGACAUGCUUGAUUUCUGCAUUAUUACCUGUUUCGGUCGAAGUUUUAUGUUCAUUAUGAUUAAAAUUUCCGCGCGUGGUGCUUGCUCUGCUCCAUUGGCAGAGGGGUGCCCAGUCCAACCCUGAAGAACUUUUGAACAAGGAAAUCCCUCUCAAGUU
Molecule: long non-coding RNA, 855 nt
Filed under: Physcomitrium patens
Lineage: Eukaryota; Viridiplantae; Streptophyta; Bryopsida; Funariales; Funariaceae
Description: long non-coding RNA (PPAT_LNC006625)
Source: RNAcentral